AGUGAACGCUGGCGGUAGGCCUAACACAUGCAAGUCGAACGGCAGCACAGUAAGUGCUUGCUCUUACGGGUGGCGAGUGGUGGAUGGUUGAUGAAUAUCUCGCAAUCUACUUUUUCGUGGGGGCUAACGUAGGGACACUUACGCUAAUACCGCAUACGACCUACGUGUGAAAGCAGGGGAUCUUCGGACCUUGCGCGAUUGAAUGAGCCGAUGUCGGAUUAGCUAGUUGGCGGGGUAAAGGCCCACCAAGGCGACGAUCCGUAGCUGGUCUGAGAGGAUGAUCAGCCACACUGGAACUGAGACACGGUCCAGACUCCUACGGGAGGCAGCAGUGGGGAAUAUUGGACAAUGGGCGAAAGCCUGAUCCAGCCAUACCGCGUGGGUGAAGAAGGCCUUCGGAUUGUAAAGCCCUUUUGUUGGGAAAGAAAAGCAGCAAGUUAAUACCCCGCUGUUCUGACGGUACCAAAAGAAUAAGCACCGGCUAACUUCGUG
This 492-nucleotide ribosomal RNA is filed under the name uncultured bacterium. Its description in RNAcentral is "partial 16S ribosomal RNA". It matches the Rfam family "Bacterial small subunit ribosomal RNA", at positions 29 to 507 of the family's 1533-position model. The record is from RNAcentral.